CCUGAGAGGGCUAUCCCCCACACUGGUACUGAAACGAAGACCACACUCCUAAAUCAUGCACCAUGGAGGAAUAUUGGACGAUGGGACGACGCCUGAUCCAUCCAUGCCUCGUGAUCGAAGACUGCCCUAUGGGUUGUAAACUGCUUUUGUACAGGAAGAAACCUUUCCGAGUGUGGAGAGCUGAUAGCUCUGUAACAAUAACCAUCGGAUAACUCCGGGCCAGCACCCUCCGUAAUACCGAUGAUGCAAGCGUUAUCCGGAAUCAUUGGGUUUAAAGGGUCCGUAAGAGGAUUGCUCAGUCACAGGUGAGAUCCUGCAACUGAACUGUAUAACUGCCUUUGAUACUGCCGGACUUCAAU
This 359-nucleotide ribosomal RNA is filed under the name uncultured bacterium. Its description in RNAcentral is "bacterial SSU rRNA". It matches the Rfam family "Bacterial small subunit ribosomal RNA", at positions 291 to 647 of the family's 1533-position model. The record is from RNAcentral.